This 781-nucleotide ribosomal RNA is filed under the name uncultured Neocallimastigales. RNAcentral describes it as "partial large subunit ribosomal RNA". It matches the Rfam family "Eukaryotic large subunit ribosomal RNA", at positions 24 to 644 of the family's 3401-position model. Lineage: Eukaryota; Fungi; Neocallimastigomycota; Neocallimastigomycetes; Neocallimastigales. The record is from RNAcentral.
UAUCUCUGUAGAGUCUGCAUAUCAAUAAGCGGAGGAAAAGAAACUAACUAGGAUUCCCUUAGUAACGGCGAGUGAAGCGGGAAGAGCUCAAAUUUGAAAUCUUCAAGGUUUUACCUUGACGAAUUGUAGUUUAAAGAAGUGUUUUCUGUUGGUGUUUUGGUAAAAGUUCUUUGGAAUAGGACAUCAUAGAGGGUGAGAAUCCCGUAUUUGACCAUUACUUCCAGCGUUGUGAUACACUUUCAAAGAGUCGGAUUGUUUGGGAAUGCAGUCCAAAAUGGGUGGUAAAUUUCAUCUAAAGCUAAAUAUUGGCGAGAGACCGAUAGCGAACAAGUACCGUGAGGGAAAGAUGAAGAGAACUUUGAAAAGAGAGUUAAACAGUACGUGAAAUUGUCAAAAGGGAAGCGUUUGACACCAGUGUUGGUUUCCUCGAAAAUCAAUUAAAAAGUGUCUGGAUUUUGUAUUGUAAUUGACCUUUAUCAGCUUUACUGCUACUUUUUUCCUUGCUCUUUUUAAUGCACUUUUCGUUUAACAAGUCAACAUCAAUUUCUUUUGUUGUAAAAGAGUCAUUGGAAGGUGGCUUUCACUUCGGUGAAAGUGUUUAUAGCCUUUGACUUCUGCAAUCGGAGAGAUUGAGGUCUGCAGCGUAGAUCCUUCGGGGUUAGAUACAUUUGUGCUAAGUUAUAGUUUUUCAUAGACAACAUGUUGACUAUGAUUAAUCAUGUAGCUUACUCGCUUAUGCUAUUUUACCUACGCUUAGGAUGUUGAAUCUGUGCGAGACUAC